GUGGGGAAUAUUGGACAAUGGGCGAAAGCCUGAUCCAGCCAUGCCGCGUGUGUGAAGAAGGUCUUCGGAUUGUAAAGCACUUUAAGUUGGGAGGAAGGGCAGUAAGUUAAUACCUUGCUGUUUUGACGUUACCGACAGAAUAAGCACCGGCUAACUUCGUGCCAGCAGCCGCGGUAAUACGAAGGGUGCAAGCGUUAAUCGGAAUUACUGGGCGUAAAGCGCGCGUAGGUGGUUUUGUAAGUUGGAGGUGAAAUCCCCGGGCUCAACCUGGGAACUGCCUCCAAAACUGCAUGACUAGAGUACGGUAGAGGGUAAUGGAAUUUCCUGUGUAGCGGUGAAAUGCGUAGAUAUAGGAAGGAACACCAGUGGCGAAGGCGACUACCUGGACUGAUACUGACACUGAGGUGCGAAAGCGUGGGGAGCAAGCAGGAUUAGAUACCCGGGUAGUCC
RNAcentral lists this ribosomal RNA (450 nucleotides) under uncultured bacterium. RNAcentral's name for it is "partial 16S ribosomal RNA". It matches the Rfam family "Bacterial small subunit ribosomal RNA", at positions 354 to 796 of the family's 1533-position model. The record is from RNAcentral.